RNAcentral lists this unclassified non-coding RNA (434 nucleotides) under Hevea brasiliensis (rubber tree). Lineage: Eukaryota; Viridiplantae; Streptophyta; Magnoliopsida; Malpighiales; Euphorbiaceae. The record is from RNAcentral.
GCAUUGCCUAAUUCCAGCACCCAAAGGGUACGUCACACCUUUCCCCUGGCCAAAAAGCCGUGACUAUGUACCAUAUGCAAAUGUUCCAUAUAAGAGUCUGAUAAUUGAGAAAGCUGUUCAGAACUGGGUUCAGUUGGAAGGUAAUGUGUUGAAAUUCCCAGGAGGUGGUACAAUGUUCCCACAAGGAGCAGAUGCAUAUAUCGAUGAACUUGCAUCAGUCAUCCCAAUUGCAGAUGGAACUGUGAGAACUGCUCUGGAUACUGGCUGUGGGGUUGCAAGCUGGGGUGCUUACUUACUGAAAAGAAAUGUGUUGGCGAUGUCCUUUGCACCAAGGGACUCACAUGAAGCCCAAGUACAAUUUGCUUUAGAACGUGGUGUUCCUGCUGUAAUUGGAGUCCUUGGAACCAUAAAAUUGCCCUAUCCAUCUAGAGCAU